AGUGAACGCUGGCGGCGUGCCUAAUACAUGCAAGUCGAACGGAAUUUAAAAGAGCUUGCUCUUUUAAAUUUAGUGGCGCACGGGUGAGUAAUAUAUAGCUAAUCUGCCCCUUGCUGGAGGACAACAGUUAGAAAUGACUGCUAAUACUCCAUACUCCUUUUUACCAUAAGAUAAAUCGGGAAAGAAUUUCGGCAAGGGAUGAGACUAUAUCGUAUCAGCUAGUCGGUGGGGUAACGGCCUACCGAGGCUAUGACGCGUAACUGGUCUGAGAGGAUGAUCAGUCACAUUGGAACUGAGACACGGUCCAAACUCCUACGGGAGGCAGCAGUAGGGAAUAUUGCGCAAUGGGGGAAACCCUGACGCAGCAACGCCGCGUGGAGGAUGACACUUUUCGGAGCGUAAACU
Molecule: ribosomal RNA, 405 nt
Filed under: Campylobacter gracilis
Lineage: Bacteria; Pseudomonadati; Campylobacterota; Epsilonproteobacteria; Campylobacterales; Campylobacteraceae
Description: bacterial SSU rRNA
Rfam family: Bacterial small subunit ribosomal RNA
Source: RNAcentral